Molecule: ribosomal RNA, 945 nt
Filed under: Triticum aestivum (bread wheat)
Lineage: Eukaryota; Viridiplantae; Streptophyta; Magnoliopsida; Poales; Poaceae
Description: partial small subunit ribosomal RNA
Source: RNAcentral
AUGGCUUCCAGCUCUAGCUGUAGGACAUGGCAUUGCUUGCUUGCUCUCUUCCUCCUCUCCUCGGCGGCCUACGGCCAGCUCUCGCCGUCAUUCUAUGCGAAGUCCUGCCAGAAGCUGGAACUCAUCGUGCGCUCCACAAUGACCAAGGCACUCCUCGCCGAGCGCCGAGUGGGGGCCUCCCUCCUCAGGCUCUACUUCCAUGACUGUUUUGUUCAAGGCUGUGACGGGUCCAUUCUCUUGGAUGACGUGGGUAGCUUCGUGGGCGAGAAGACCGCCCUUCCCAACGGGAAUACUGUGCGGGGCUAUGAGGUGAUCGACGAGAUCAAGAAGAACGUGGAGCUGGUCUGCCCUGGCGUCGUCUCCUGCGCCGACAUCACGGCCCUCGCCGCACGGGACGGCGUCUUUCUGGCGGGCCCAGCUGGAAGGUGCCGCUCGGCCAACCUGAAUGAGGCGAACAGCAACCUCUCGGUGACCAGCUUAAGCCUCGAUGUGCUCAUCGCCAUGUUUGCCAAGAAGAACCUGAGCCCGCACGACCUGACGGUGCUGUUGGGCGCGCACACCAUUGGCUUCUCGCACUGCGUCAACUUUCGCGACCACAUCUACAACGGCACCGACAUCGACCCGGCGUUCGCCAUGCUGCGCAAGCGCUCCUGCCCCGCCCAGGCCCCUGACGGCGACGGCAACCUGGCACCGUUAGACGUGCAAACGCCGCUCGUAUUCGACAACACCUACUAUCACAACCUGGUAGCCAAGCGCGGCCUGCUGAGCGCCGACCAGUUGCUCUUCAACGGCGGCUCCCAGGACGCGCUGGUGCGCCAGUACGCCGCCAACCCGAAGCUCUUCGAGUCCGACUUCGUGACGGCCAUGAUCAAGAUGGGGAGCCUCACCCCGCCCAGCGGAACCCCCACCCAGAUCAGACGCCACUGCAGGGUCGUCAACAGCUAG